Molecule: ribosomal RNA, 301 nt
Filed under: uncultured bacterium
Lineage: Bacteria
Description: partial 16S ribosomal RNA
Rfam family: Bacterial small subunit ribosomal RNA
Source: RNAcentral
CAGCAGCCGCGGGAAUACAGAGGGUGCAAGCGUUAAUCGGAAUUACUGGGCGUAAAGCGAGCGUAGGUGGCUUGAUAAGUCAGAUGUGAAAGCCCCGGGCUUAACCUGGGAACGGCAUCUGAUACUGUUAGGCUAGAGUAGGUGAGAGGAAGGUAGAAUUCCAGGUGUAGCGGUGAAAUGCGUAGAGAUCUGGAGGAAUACCGAUGGCGAAGGCAGCCUUCUGGCAUCAUACUGACACUGAGGUUCGAAAGCGUGGGUAGCAAACAGGAUUAGAUACCCCCGUAGUCCCUGUCUCUUAUAC